AAGACUAUAGACCUGCGGAGUACCUGCGGAAGGAUCAUUAGUGAACGCCCUCACGGGCUUAUAACUAUUCCAAACCUCUGUGAACCGUGCCCUUCGGGGCUAUUUUACGAACAUGGUGUAAUGAACGUCAUAUAUCAUAACAAAACAAAACUUUCAACAAUGGAUCUCU
Molecule: unclassified non-coding RNA, 169 nt
Filed under: soil metagenome
Description: partial contains 5.8S ribosomal RNA, internal transcribed spacer 2, and large subunit ribosomal RNA
Source: RNAcentral